CUCCUGAUGGCACAGUUGGUAGCGCGUUGGACUGUAAUUGCAAAUUAUCUCAGAGAUCCACAGGUCGGGUGUUCGAGUCACCCUCAGGAGA
Non-coding RNA from Ustulina deusta, 91 nucleotides. The record is from the annotation of a GenBank genome assembly. Lineage: Eukaryota; Fungi; Ascomycota; Sordariomycetes; Xylariales; Xylariaceae.